GGGUUAUAUUUAAAAAGGGGUUUUUUAAAAUUUUUGAAAAAUGUUACAGAAUGUUUAGACAACGGUUAGGAGGUUCAAAGGUUACAAGGUUCCCCUUUUGGGGAGCCACGGAGUAAUCCGCCCAAUAAUUAUUUACCCCAUUAAUAAUCCCUAUUCCAAAACCCCAACCUGUUUUUUCUUUUUUCCCUUUUAGUUUUCCUUUUUUCCCCUUCCCUCCCACCAUUUUUUUAAUAUUUAGGACUAUAGGGGUUGGGGGUUGGGGCGGGGGGCUUUUGUUUUCCUCCCCGUCUGGGCGGGCGGGGCGCCCCCCCCCCUCCUUAAAUAAAAAAAAGGGGGGGGGGGGGUUUUUUGGGGGGGGGGGGGGAGCCCCCCCCCCCCGGAGGAACUUCUCCCAAAAAAGUGGGUUUUGCUUUUUUUCACCCCGGUUUUUUUCCCGGCCCCUUCAAGGGUACCCGGAAGGACCCCCCCCGGAAUGAAACUUGGGGGCCCCCCGGGCCGGGGAGGGCCCCCGGGGGCCCCCCCCAAACCCACCCAAGGCCGGGGCUGGGGUGAAAAUGACGCUAGAAACAGGCAUGCCCCGCCGAAAUAGCCGGCGGGCGCCAAUGGCGUUACAAAGAUUGGAUGAUUCCAGUGAAUUUCUGCAAUUCACCAUUAACUUAUCGCAUUUCGCUGCUUCUUUCAUCGAUGCCAGAACCCAAGAGAUCCGUUGUUGAAAGUUUUGAUUAUUUGUCUUUCAGGCUCAGAGAUACUGGAAAAAAUAAGAGUUUUGAACCUCCGGCGGGCGUGCCCGCCGAAGCAACGACAGAGGUUAUGUUCACAGGGUUGGAGUUUUUCAACUCAGUAAUGAUCCUCUGAACCUGCGGAGGGAUCAUUACUGAGUUGAAAAACUCCAACCCCUGUGAACAUAACCUCUGUCGUUGCUUCGGCGGGCACGCCCGCCGGAGGUUCAAAACUCUUAUUUUUUCCAGUAUCUCUGAGCCUGAAAGACAAAUAAUCAAAACUUUCAACAACGGAUCUCUUGGUUCUGGCAUCGAUGAAGAACGCAGCGAAAUGCGAUAAGUAAUGUGAAUUGCAGAAUUCAGUGAAUCAUCGAAUCUUUGAACGCACAUUGCGCCCGCCGGUAUUCCGGCGGGCAUGCCUGUUCGAGCGUCAUUUCAACCCUCAAGCCUCGGCUUGGUGUUGGGGCGCCCGGGCCCUCCGCGGCCCGGGGCCCCCAAGUUCAUCGGCGGGCUCGUCGGUACACUGAGCGCAGUAAAACGCGGUAAAACGCGAACCUCGUUCGGAUCGUCCCGGCGUGCUCCAGCCGCUAAACCCCCAAUUUUUAGAGGUGACCUCGGAUCAUGUAGAAGCAGCAGCCUCUUUU
This 1363-nucleotide unclassified non-coding RNA is filed under the name Pyricularia oryzae. RNAcentral describes it as "sequence contains ITS1, 5.8S rRNA gene, ITS2". The stretch from base 999 to 1152 matches the Rfam family "5.8S ribosomal RNA". Lineage: Eukaryota; Fungi; Ascomycota; Sordariomycetes; Magnaporthales; Pyriculariaceae. The record is from RNAcentral.